UCGAAGUUGAUCCUGGCUCAGAUUGAACGCUGGCGGCAUGCCUAACACAUGCAAGUCGAACGGCAGCACAGUAGAGCUUGCUCUAUGGGUGGCGAGUGGCGGACGGGUGAGUAAUGCAUCGGGAUCUACCCAAACGUGGGGGAUAACGUAGGGAAACUUACGCUAAUACCGCAUACGUCUUACGAGAGAAAGCAGGGGACCUUCGGGCCUUGCGCGGUUGGACGAACCGAUGUGCGAUUAGCUAGUUGGUAGGGUAAUGGCCUACCAAGGCGACGAUCGCUAGCUGGUCUGAGAGGAUGAUCAGCCACACUGGAACUGAGACACGGUCCAGACUCCUACGGGAGGCAGCAGUGGGGAAUAUUGGACAAUGGGCGCAAGCCUGAUCCAGCAAUGCCGCGUGUGUGAAGAAGGCCUUCGGGUUGUAAAGCACUUUUAUCAGGAGCGAAAUACUACCGGCUAAUAUCCGGUGGGGCUGACGGUACCUGAGGAAUAAGCACCGGCU
RNAcentral lists this ribosomal RNA (502 nucleotides) under Dyella sp. EPMY122. Its description in RNAcentral is "bacterial SSU rRNA". It matches the Rfam family "Bacterial small subunit ribosomal RNA", at positions 1 to 498 of the family's 1533-position model. Lineage: Bacteria; Pseudomonadati; Pseudomonadota; Gammaproteobacteria; Lysobacterales; Rhodanobacteraceae. The record is from RNAcentral.